GACGAACCGUGCGAACGUUGUUCGGAAUCACUGGGCCUAAAGGGCGCGUAGGCGGCUUUUCAAGUCAGGGGUGAAAUCCGGCAGCUCAACUGUCGAAGUGCCCUUGAUACUGACGAGCUCGAGGGAGGUAGGGGUGUGUGGAACUUCCGGUGGAGCGGUGAAAUGCGUUGAUAUCGGAAGGAACGCCGGUGGCGAAAGCGACGCACUGGACCUCUUCUGACGCUGAGGCGCGAAAGCCAGGGGAGCAAACGGG
RNAcentral lists this ribosomal RNA (253 nucleotides) under uncultured bacterium. RNAcentral's name for it is "partial 16S ribosomal RNA". It matches the Rfam family "Bacterial small subunit ribosomal RNA", at positions 524 to 776 of the family's 1533-position model. The record is from RNAcentral.